AUACAUGCAUGAAAUCGCCUACGCAUCCCAACAACUAUCUCUUAAAUAGAGUCUUUUCUUGAUUCCAAAUCAAUUUCUAAUCAGACUAAAAAAGCUAGUCCUUAUCUCAUAAAGUCCCUUACCUUUUAAUUUGAUUUUUUUUCUAAAAAAAUCAGACCCAAUUGAAAAGGCUCCACACCCUAUAAGGCAAGUAGAGGGGGAACCCACACUUUAUUAGGCA
Molecule: long non-coding RNA, 220 nt
Filed under: Elaeis guineensis (African oil palm)
Lineage: Eukaryota; Viridiplantae; Streptophyta; Magnoliopsida; Arecales; Arecaceae
Description: long non-coding RNA (EGUI_LNC059117)
Source: RNAcentral